The sequence is a transfer RNA, 72 nucleotides long. It matches the Rfam family "tRNA". From Rfam's summary of the family: Transfer RNA (tRNA) molecules are approximately 80 nucleotides in length.
GCCCCGAUAGCUCAAUGGUAGAGCGUCUGCCUCGUAAGCAGAAGGUUGAGGGUUCGAAUCCCUCUCGGGGCU